GACACUGCAGGUGGCAGGCUCUCAGCAAUGAGAACACAUCGCUGCAGCAGCACUGAUUUUAAUUGCACACAAGCUAAGCUCGCCUUGCUGAUUGUCUCAGCAUCAUCCAGUUCCCUCUCAUAAUCCCUGCUCUUUCUAGGUUUGUAGCAAGGCUCCAGGUGAGAGGGGUGCUCAUCACAAGGAGGGAGCCACUCCUCCCCAUGCAGAAAGCUCAAAGGGGAGGACCACUGUCAAGUUGCCAAACAAACAAACAAAAAGCCUUAGGAUGGUUGGCAUGGAAUGGGACCAUUAAUCCCUGCCCUUGCACAGACAAACCUCGCGCAGGCCUUGCAUUUAAGACACCUCCACCCUCCUGUCUCUGUUUGCAGCUGCCUUCCUGCACACAGGACUGAUGCGGCGCAGCGAGCUGCCCUCUGGACCCACCAAGACUGACCUUGCUCUGCCCAGCUCACCACCCAGGUAAGUGACUCUGCCCAGACCUCUGGCAUUCUCUGUCGCAGUAUCUGCUCUUUGAAAUUUAUCCCUUCCUUUCCUUUCUCACUUCUCAUAAGAACUGCAAUUCUUUACAUGUCAUUUUUAACCCUGGUGUUGUUGCCUUCUCUGUUAUGAAUUAUCAGAGCCUCUCAUGAGCUAGGUUUUUAGCCAGGACUUCACAGGCAAAACAGGCAAGGUUAGCUGCUUUCUAGACCUGGUUGUAGAUGCAAGCUUCAGGUGCUUAAGUGAAGUGGAGUUUUUUUAAUGUGGUUUUUAAACUUGUUUGCAAUAGUUGGUACAUCUGUGUGAGAAGCUGCAACCUGGCUGAUGAGUGGAGACAACCUCCUCACUUCAGGGCCCAGAGCGCUUUAGAACUGUCCUGUAUAAAAUAUUUCAGAAAUAAAUGUUUCCUUGGAUCAACCAGAGGGAGGUUCUGCAUUACCAAAAAGCAAAACAAAAACUGUUCUUCUGCCUGCGAGCUCUUACAAAGACUCCAAGCAUGAAGAAGGGCUCGAAGUCUGAUGUAACGCAGAGAAAGGGCCCAAGUCUGCUGACUUAAAGGAUGUGGUUCUACUUAAGUGCGUAGUGCUUCUAUAUGUUUUAUACAGACACAUAAAUAAAUGUGUGCUGAGAAUAAUGUAUCCCUUGGAAUGAUCGAGUGGGGAAUGUGGUAGAUGAGCUGUUGCUGAAGUCUUCAUGCCAGGAGCAGCUGGCUUGUUCCAAGGGAUGUUCUCGUUAACCAUGCACAAGUGAGUGCAGGGUGAGACACUGGGGCACCCCGUGGCCGCUGCGAUGCAGGGAACCAGUUUCAAGCCAGGACUUCUUAAUGAAUGGAGCUGCUCCAAAUCAUGCCACUGAAAGUGGGUUCUUAAGAUUAAUUUCAUCCUGCAGUUAAUUAGUCUGACAAAUUGUCACAGUCCAGCCUAGGCUCCCCUGCCCACCACAAAAAUGAAUAAUCCUGCUUCUCUAGAGUGGAGCGCUCUUAAACAUGAGUUCCCACAUACAGGGGUCCUGUGUCUGGUGUCUGGACCCAGCCCAGCGGCUAAUUAAGCCUAAUCCUGGAAAAAUGUCAUUGUGGGUUUUGGUCCCUGCCACCACUUUUCUGUCAGCAGUGAUUUAUGGCACACAGGGACAUAGGGUCUCUUUAAAGGAGAUGGCUGGCAGCCACUGGGCAGGGUUGAAAGGUCUCUAGGUGGCUGAAAAGCUCAUGGAGUUUUUUCCACCUUCCACCACACGUUAGCCAUACGUGUGCUAGAAUCACACUGGUUUUUCAUCAGGUCUCCUGGUCAGUAAGAUCAUCUCAGGCCUCAUGGUGUCUGCUGAAGGUAGCUGAGGACACAGAGCAAUUGGCUUGCUUCUUCCCAUGCCAUUUCCCUCCACCUUCCCCAGCACCUUCUGGCUGGGAGGAAUGGGGGCAAUCCUGGAGCUGUGGCCCUUUUCCUACUGCUGGUGCUGGGUGAGGUGCCUCCCCUUGUGCCCUGCCCUAUACAGCAUAAAGAUCCCCACGAUGCUCACCAGGUCAGUCCUCGGCUGCUGUUAACUGGCCAAACUUUGGAGUCCGCUCGACAGUGUCAGCUCACACUAGCUGAGGUCUGGUUUUCUCUGGUGGCUUGGGCUCGCUGCCUUAGGCUAAGGCAAAAAAUGUCAUUGCUUCAUCUGAAUUCUCCAAGCCCUUCAAUUCUGUGUCCCAAAGCCACAAAGCCGUUUACUCUUUCCAUACUGAAAUAUCCCUGCGCUUUACUAGUGUGUUAAAUUGUAAGGUAAAAUGGCCAGCCACUCUUCGUGACUGAGUGCUUCUAAUCCGCUGCCAAAAAAGGACAAUAUUUGUACAAGGGAUGAGGGGAAAAAAAUGGGGAAAUUUGUAUGGGGGGAGGAAAAUGUGUUCCCUCUCCCUAGCAAACACUGGCUAAAAGGCAAAGUUCAUUCCUGGAUUGCUUUCAACACUCUUUACAGAGAAGGGCAAGGGCAGCCUUUCUGGUUGUAAAUAAAGCCCUUUCCUUCAGAAAUGUGAAUUGUUUAGAUCCAACAAGCCUUACUUCAUAAGGGUGCAAAUCUCUUGCUUUUAACAGCCUGCAAACAUCCUGUGCUCUUUCUAAAGACAUCUUGUGCAUGAGAAGAGGUUCAUUUGGGUGUUGGAAUCAAACCCCAUGUGCACAUGCAUUCGUGGGCUCUGCUGAAGGCAGGCAAACUGCUCUCUUGGGGGAUCACCUGCAAAGAGACGCAGAUUGUCUCAAGUGGUGAAGGCAGAAGGGCCGGAGAUAUGUAGUCCCUCAUACAGGAGAUUUUCUUUCCUAUAUAAAAGAGCCUGGGCUACAGCUGAUGUUUCAUCCAUGAAGCUGUUCUGGUGUCAGACAAACAUGCAUGCCUGUUUCUAUUUGCGCCUUUUCCAUAGGGAAAGUUGUGAACAGUUGUGGAUUAAGCUGCUUUUCAGCUCCAGACUAGCUUGCUAGAACACCAAAUAAUGAAGCUGGAAGGGCGGUAACCAUGACCGUCCUUGCUGGAUUAACACAAGAGAAAUCCAGAUCUCCUGAGAGCUCUGCAGAGGGUGUUUGUAAAGUGCUGUUUUAAAGAAACAAUUUUAAAGAAGCAACUUCAGUGCUCCCAGGCAAACAAACCUUCCCACUUCUUGCUAACAUAUGCUGACAGUAAGCAUGCUCUGAACACCCCUGGAGACAAGGAUGCAGGAGGCAAGGUCCUUUCUGUGGCUUUGCAGGAAUGUUUGUGGGCAUCUGGCCCCCAGCGUUUGUAAAGGAACGGGUUCUGCAGACUGCUGUGUGCCAGGGGUGCUGCUCCGCCAGAAUGUGGGGACAGAGUGCAGGAAGGAAUGAAGGAUCUCAUGCUUGACUGCAAUCUAUCAAUCAAAAAGUUGCCACUGCAUUUGGUGAGAGCAGGAUUUGCUUCUCUCCAUGUUAGUUCUGGCAUACAUAUCAUACAUGUAUGCUGUAAACUAGCAUCAACUUCAGACCUGCAGACUAAGCCUCUUAAUUUAGAAAGCUUGGACAAUUGUGGACAUUGAUAAGCCGAAGCCAGUGAGUGACUUGUGCCACCCACCAGAGACCAUUACAGAUUCACGCUCAUCUACCACUGAGCAGUACCAGCAGCUGCUGCAGGUGGGGAAGUCACCUGGAAUUCUGCAGAUGGAAGAUGUAAAUACCUUACAAGGGAUGGUCUAAAAAUUAAAAAUCGUCAGCAAGACCCUGCAGUCUGCUCCCCAAGCAGCUGAGCUGCUUGCACAGGGUGCAAGGGUCAGUAAACAGCGAGCGCAGAUUUUACAGAGCAGCAACUAAAAGGCACUUCAGAUGACUUUUUGUUUUGCCUCCAGUGAUGUUCUGAAAUACCUGCUCCUGAAUCUCACUUGGAGUUUGGAAGCAAGUAACAGGGCAUCCAAGCUUUCCAGAUUUGUCUUUGGGGCUAAAAUGCCAAAUGGUUGACACACGCCAGAAGUUGGCUUUUUGGCAACAGUUUGACAGCAGCUCCUUCCAGUCUAUUUUAAGGUAAAAACAAAACAAAAAUGUUCUGCCUGUCAAAAAAAACAAACACCACAAACAAAAACUGAUGCAAUUCUUUUUCCUUCUGCACAGGAAUGGUUGAAAGAACAGAAACACCGGACUGCUGACCUGCCCUGAGAAAUGACCAUCCUUGGCUCAUCUCUAGCAAUCAUCCAGCAAUCCCAAGACACUUCACAAUAAGGCUUGGCACAGAUGCUGACCUGGACUCUAUUGAUAGGACCAUGCCCGUGAAAGCUACACCAAGAGGCAAGCUACACUCCUCCUCCACGGUAUGUAAGAUGAAGCUGGAAUCUCUUCCCACCACAGAGGGCAGAUUCUGGCACCACACUGUCGUCAAACAGCUCCUGAACCAGGGGCUGCAGCAGACGUGGCUGCACUGCGGGCCCGGAGGAAUGCGGGAUGCAGGCGCGCAGCCGAUGCUGGAGGCAGCCGGCACGGACCUGCGUGUGCUGCAGGAAGGCACCGAAGACCUGGCUUCACUCUCCGAGGCCAGACUGUGAGAAAUCUGGGGCAGGCCCACUCAAAGGUCUCGGCCUGGUGGACCUUUAUUUACGGCAAGUAGGCUUCCAUGGGAAGCUGCUGACAUCCAGCUGGUCACCUCCUCUUGGCCCAGCACUGAGCAGAACAGGACCGUGGCUGUUUGUACUACACUAAUAACAAUAUUAAUGAACACAACAUUUGUUAUGGCAGCUGAUGAAAGCAUGAGGCAUCUGGUAUGGCACGUGGUGUUGAAGACUUUCAUGACCAAGCCCUGAAGACGGCACGAAGUCCUUGGAGAUAGGUUUGAUUCUAAAAGAUCCUUCACUCCACCAUCCUGAGGGAGCAGGUCACGCUUAAGGUGGUAGCUGACCUUGCUAGUUAAUAAAGCUGGAUUUGUUUAGGCUUAUUCUGCACAAGUCAAAAGGAAAGGCCAAGGAUGCCCAAAUCCAGCCUUCACUGACAUGAGGGGCCCUCCUCAGAGAGACUGAAGCAAUUUGUAUGCACUGAGCUGUGUAGAAGAAUGUCACUGAUUUAUAAAUGUCAAACAGGCUCUGAGCAGCCCACACACGAACCUCAGUGAAUUCUUACCUCUGACCCGCUCAUUGGCUCCAGCAGCGGCAUGGGCUGAUUUAGAGCCCCUUACUGUAAGAGCUUUAACAUCUCACACAGGCUGUGGCUGAUCUGAAUAUGUCAAAGGGGACUGAAGGUCAAAAUUUCCAUAAAUUAGGCCUUGGAUUGUUACCUAUCAUGUAAUAGGAUUCUCUGGCCAGUUAAUGCUGUGAACUACAGACAUUCAGCGCAGCAGUUCCCCUGCAGCCCAGUUCCCCUGCCCUUCUACUGAACUGGUGAGGCUGUAUGUCCAAGGAGAAGGAGCGUCUUCAAAGCUGCUUUCCUCCAAAGAGAAAAAACGGAGCAGGACAAAGGACUGGGACUCUAGGCAGGGAACAUGACCCCAGGCCCAGUCCUGAAACGGGUGAAUAUUUUCACAUGAAGAAACCUCUGAGCUUUUGGAGGAGCUGCAGGGGCUCGGUGCUCCUCAGGACCAGAGAGAGACCUGCUGUGUGCCAAACAGAUGAUACUGCACAGGGCAUUGACAGCUUUUCUCAGGGCAGAGUAGGAGAGCUAAUAAUGACUGGUCAGAUGGGAAAGCCAGAGAAGAAAGACCACAUGGAGGAAUACAUGUACAAGCUGCUAAGAUGUCUAAUGUGCUUUCCUUUGGUUACUCUUCCAUUCAGAGCGAGAACUAGGUCGCUUUCUGCUGGUAUCCACCCCAUUUAGCACACUUAUAAAGCUUGGAAGGACAGCCACAGCUCUCAAAUUGCCUGCUGAGACAUGGCACGUUGAAAACAGGGCAUGACACAGUAACACGUGAUGGACAGUGGGGGAGAUGGCUUCACUGGUCUCCUAGCUCUAUUUCCUACAGCUCUAAAUCAGCAUGAGGAACUCUGGCACUGCCAAGAGGGGCACAGCAGGGCUUUCUGCCCCUGGAGGCUGAAACUGCACAGCAAGAGGAGCACAGUCCCUUCAGGCAUUCGGCUUUCAGAAAGACCAAAGGUGUGGUAUUUAUAAAGGCUCCAAAAUUGGCAGCAAGAGAAAGGCAAAUAUUCUGCUGAACUGGAGACCGCCCCAGCACAGACAGCUGCAGCCCAGCCUCUCCUCAGUCUCCCUGCCAGUUCUCUCAAGCAUGACCUGGUUUGAGGACCACCUUCCAUGAGAUCAAAAGCAGGAGAAAAGAGGAGAUGGCAAGCAUGAGAAGAGGUGUGGAUGGAGGAAGUCAAAGCAGCAAGGAAGCUAGUCCCAUCUCUUUAUGAAGAGACAUCCUGAAGAAACUCAUCCUGUAGUCAGCAUUCCUCCAGUGGUGAUUACUGACAUCUGAGGAGACUGACCUGUGGCAUACUGUCACUGCAGCAGAGUAUCUUGCUGGGAGAAAAUUUUGGGUUGUCUCCUGGAUUGAUCAGACUGUGGCUUCUCUGUCCUAUAUAGACAAGGAUAAAGAACCUCCCCGAGGUGCUCUAGGAGAGACAGCGAGAUCUGGUGGUGGGAUAUGGAGGUCUGAAGUCUCCCACCUGCUCUGCCAAGCAUGUGCUCUCCAGCUUUGGGUGCACUGUGAGUUGAUUAACUCUGUUGUAGGAGACACGAACUGCAGCAUACCCACCAGCCACUGUUUGAGAAAAAGGAAGAGUAGAUCUGUGCCAUACAACAAUAUUUAUAAAUUAACUUAAUCACCAGAUGAACAGUUUAAUCUGUAAAUGCGAGUCAUCACUAGAUGUCCUGUAUAGCAGCAGCUGUACCAAAUACUGUGGGGCUUAUUUGAUGAGGACUGCACGUUGCCUGAGCAGGCUCAGAAUCCCAGAGUCAUGCUCAAACUCUGGAAUUAAAGGAACUGAAUUCAGGAAUUAAAGGAACUGAUUCACUCUGACAGGGCUGGGAAUCUGUCUUGUGGAACUUAAGAGCAGCUAGACCUGCCAGUAAAACAGCAGUACUGAAGGACGAGAUGAAUGCGUUUGUUCUAAAGACCUCCCAGCCAGAUGCUACCCCUGCUAUAUUUCAUACGGCUUUCUGCAGGCAGAGAGUUACCACCGAAACCUGAGCCAACUAAUAACAAAAGCAGUGUGGACUUUUCUGCUGGAGCUGGACUCUGCAGUACCAACCUGACAGCAUCUGGACCCAAACUCUGCUCAGGCAGCAUGUCUCCCAGCUUGGCCAGCACCACCCAUCAGCUACAUCAUCUUCUGGUGGCAAUUAAGGGACAAUUCAACGGGAAAUGAGUCUGUGCAUUAGAGAGGAAUAGGUGACCUGGAGACCUGGUAGCCAGAACUCAAAGCUGGGAAGAAGCCAGGCCACAUUUCUUACGGGAUUCUUCUCAAAGAGGAACUGCCUCAGGUGACAGUGUCUAUAAGAAGUAUAGUGGAAAAUCAGAACAUGCUCUGAGAAGAAAAACUGAGUGCUCCAGCCUCCCUAAUCCACACAUCUACCCAGACGCCCAGAAGUUAACCCAAGUCCAAAGGGCUGCAGUGUUUUUUUAAGCUGAAUAUUUCUUCUCAUUGGGGACCAAGGUAAUUAAUUGCUUCAGCAAAGAAUGACAUGUACUGCACCGUAUUGCUUGCAGAAGUUGCUGAUGCCCAGAAGCAAAGAUAAUACUGCAUUCCCUCUAUUCUCCAGCCUCUCCCCUGAGAAUUCAAAUCAGUAACAACCCAUUAGAUCUCAACGCUGCUUCCAAGAAAUGUGGCUAAAACAGCAUUUCUUUGGAGGUAACAAAAAUAAAUGGGACUCAGAAGAAAAGCAAUUUACCUAUGAAACUCUGAGAGUUCCAAACAUCAGCAUAUCUCAGCUUUCUUGGGAUUUUUUUUAUUUUUAUUCUGCAUUUUCUAAAUGGCAUUGAUUCAGUCCCUGUAGAUGGGCCGUGACGGCGCACAUCUGGUUUUAUGGUUAAGGAAAUAGCUGAUUGAAUCAAUACACUCAGCACAGCUGACUGGAGUAAAUAAAAGAGGAUUUGAAGGAAGCCUUGUUUUCCCCUUGAUGGGUAAGUCCACCAUCAGUGCUGCUGCAGUUGCCCUCAACUCAGUGGAGUGACAUGAAGAUGGAAGUUGUAUUUCUUCAUGAACUGAGCUUGCUUGUUCUCUGUCCAUCAUAACUUUAGUUUUGGGAGAACUUUGCUCUUAGAAAGCAGCAACCAUUUAUACCUUCAGUAAAAGAGAGAGCCAACGGUCUGGGCCCUCUUCAGGAAAGUGAGACUGACCCACUGGGUAAAUGAUUUCCAUCGCUGGAUUCUGUGAUCACACCUAAUUAUUCUGCGUGGAGCAGUUAUCAAACGUGAGCUUCUUUGUUUUCACAAGCUCAUGGGAAGAGAUGGGGAAAUGGUAGGAGAACGUACUGUAUCCCAAAGGGAGACCAUCAGGGUGUAGUACUAGGAAGUCUUGGGGGUUCAAACCUGGCAGCAAACCUAGCUUCAUAGUAAAUGAACCACAAAACUCCUGUGGAGCCCUAGAGUUUCAGCUCUGGAGGUCACAGGUUCAUGUUUCUCUGCUUCAGCCUCUUGGGUACAAUGCAACUCUAAAAAUUCUCUGUGGAGCCAUUAAAAAAAAAAAAAAAAGUCCACAUCACCUCUGCAGUGAUAGGGCAGCCAGAGAUUGGCACCGGAACAGUUAGUGGGAACCCACGAUGAACGUGACCUACCAGGGUGGUCCCUUGGGUGGUCAACAUGCUACAAGCAGCAGCUCACUGCUCCCUGUGCCUGCCAGGUGCAUAUCACAUUCCCACAGAGCAACUGGCGGGCUGUAACCAUUCCAGCAACUUUUCCUUCAAGCUGAUAAUUGAAGUGUUAUCUCCAGCCUUCGUUUCUACCCGUCAUUUGAAGUCUAUGUCACCUGAAGCCCUUGGCUGCACCCCAGCAAAGAAAGCAUCACCUGCCUGCCCCAGGCUGUGCAGCUCCACCCCAAGGGUGCAUCUUCUGCAGGUGUGAAGCAAAGGUGUCAUGUGGGAGUUUGUUCCUGAGCAGAAGAAAACGCUUUGUGCUGGGAAGACACGUGGCCUGACAGAUUUGCAUGACAGAGAGUAGUGCUCCCUUGGUAAGGCAACUUACCGAAGAAAGGGUGAAGGGGGUCCUCACUGUGGACAAUUUUGGUUAAGGAAAAAUUGCUGUCUAACUGAUCCUUUGUGGACUUCCGACUGAAACCACCCAGUACAACAUAUGGUUCCUACGUGCCUUUUUGGUCUUUUCAGCAAGCAAGCUAAUGGAAACAAUUCUGUAUCUUCAAGGCAGGAUGAUGAAGUUUCAGAGUUCCCCUGGCUAGUCACAAGAGAGAAUUGAUACAGCUCUACAGCAGCCAAAUGCCCGUGCAUCUCUGCAUCUCAGGUUUACCAUUAACCUCAGCAGGGGGCUUCGUCUCGCACCAGGAACCCCGCUGGCCUAAGUGUUGUGGAAACAAAGGUGAAACAACAAUAACUAAAACCAGUCUCUGCCUUAAGGAGAUGGCAGCACCUCCCUUAUUUCUUUCAACUGCUGUAAAUAAAUCCUUGGUCAUGGCACUGUUUUCCAGAGGACAAUAAAAGGAACUGUUGUCACUCCCUGACA
Anas platyrhynchos (mallard) is the source of this 9537-nucleotide non-coding RNA. NCBI's taxonomy places the organism in Eukaryota, Metazoa, Chordata, Aves, Anseriformes, Anatidae. The record is from RefSeq and is a predicted model, not a curated record.